GAAAAGAAAAUUUUGAUGGUCUUGCUACUUGGAUAACCGUAGUAACUCUAGAGCUAAUACAUGCAUCAAUCCCUGACUUCCUGGAAGGGGUGUACUUAUUAGAUGGAAACCAGUGCGGGUUCGCCCGGAUUAUGGUGAUUCAUAAUAAUUUUCGGAUCGAUCAAUUGAUCGAUGCAUCAUUCAAGUUUCUGCCCUAUCAGCUUUGGAUGGUAGGGUAUUGGCCUACCAUGGCAUUAACGGAUAACGGAGAAUUAGGGUUCGAUUCCGGAGAGGGCGCCUGAGAAACGGCGACCAGUUCCAAGGAAGGCAGCAGGCGCGUAAAUUACCCAAUCCUGACACAGGGAGGUAGUGACAAUAAAUAACAAUGUCGGGCCUUCGGGUUUGACAAUUGGAAUGAGAACAAUUUAAAUCCCUCAUCGAGGAUCAAUUGGAGGGCAAGUCUGGUGCCAGCAGCCGCGGUAAUUCCAGCUCCAAUAGCGUAUACUAAAGUUGUUGCAGUUAAAAAGCUCGUAGUUGAAUUUCUGGUUUCGGAGUGCGGUCUGCCCCAUGGGGUAAGUAUCAGCGCUCGGGAGCCAUCCUCGAGGAGAACAUGCCUGUGAUUGAGUUCAUGGGUAUGGGAGCCUCGUCUUUUACUGUGAGCAAACUAGAGUGUUCAAAGCAGGCUUACGCCGUUGAAUACAUUAGCAUGGAAUAAUAAAAUAGGACUCUGGUCUAUUUUGUUGGUUGGUACUCCAGGGUAAUGAUUAAUAGGGACAGUUGGGGGUAUUCGUAUUCAAUUGUCAGAGGUGAAAUUCUUGGAUUUGUGGAAGACGAACUACUGCGAAAGCAUUUACCAAGGAUGUUUUCAUUAAUCAAGAACGAAAGUUAGGGGGAUCGAAGAUGAUUAGAUACCAUCGUAGUCUUAACCAUAAACUAUGCCGACUAGGGAUUGGCGGGUUGUUUAUUUUGACUCCAUCAGCACCUUUAUGAGAAAUCAAAGUCUUUGGGUUCCCGGGGGGAGUAUGGGUCGCAAGGGCUGAACUUAAGAAAAUUGACGGGAAGGGCACCACCAGAGUGAGCCUGCGGCUAUUGACUCACACGGCAAACUAACCAAGUCAGAACUAGUGAAGAAUGACGAUGAGAGCUCUUUCUGAAUCAUGGUGUGGUGCAUGCCGCUCUAAGCUGAUGGCAACUGAUAUCUG
RNAcentral lists this ribosomal RNA (1181 nucleotides) under uncultured microeukaryote. RNAcentral's name for it is "partial large subunit ribosomal RNA". It matches the Rfam family "Eukaryotic small subunit ribosomal RNA", at positions 109 to 1317 of the family's 1831-position model. The record is from RNAcentral.